UUAAGGUUAAAUAUAAAACAGUAACUUACUAAAUAAAAAAUGACUUUAGCUUGGUUUUCACAGGCAGGGUCACAGAAAUGACUAUCAUGAACUGAACAUGAACAUUUAUACCACUACAUGUAAUCCACAGCCUCAACAAACAGUCCAGAGUACAUUCUAGGCAGUCUGGAGGGCUAGCUUCCUGUUGUGACAUACCCGCAGGAGCAGAUCUGUAUAUCCAGAUUUUUAUCACAGACUGCAAACAUUCACAUGAGAUGAGUAUCCAGAACCCUUAUCUUUUCCUGAUAACAAGACUGAUGUGAGGGUGACGUUAAGAAGCUUGUGGGUGGCGGUGUUCCCUAUAUUCUGAAGGAGUGAGAACUUCAUGAACCACCUGCUGACAUUGGCAUUGCGAUUGGGGAUUAACGUUUUAAACCGUUUGACUUCAGUAACAUCAGUUUGUGCCCUGAUUCUGCGUAUGAUGUACAUUAUCAACCUGGCUUAUCUGAAACUCCUUCAAAUCACUUUUGAGGUGUUCCUGAAA
Long non-coding RNA from Triplophysa rosa, 523 nucleotides. RefSeq lists it as uncharacterized. The record is from RefSeq and is a predicted model, not a curated record. The transcript has 3 exons. Lineage: Eukaryota; Metazoa; Chordata; Actinopteri; Cypriniformes; Nemacheilidae.